GGAGGUCGGCAACGACCACCCAGAGCCGGAAAGUUGGUCAAACUCGGUCAUUUAGAGGAAGUAAAAGUCGUAACAAGGUCUCCGUAGGUGAACCUGCGGAGGGAUCAUUA
Molecule: ribosomal RNA, 110 nt
Filed under: Ramularia vizellae
Lineage: Eukaryota; Fungi; Ascomycota; Dothideomycetes; Mycosphaerellales; Mycosphaerellaceae
Also listed under: 2 other names
Description: partial 18S ribosomal RNA
Rfam family: Eukaryotic small subunit ribosomal RNA
Source: RNAcentral